AGAGAUAAGAAUUUUCACCACAGAAAUCUUUUGCAACAACAUAGUACAUGAAUCCUAUUUCUCUCUUCAUCUUUUGAUAAAAGUAACAUAGUACAUAGAUCUUAUACCUAACAGUUUAGAAGCCUUUGAUUCUGAGGUAGAGGACUUGGACACUUUAGGCGAGUAACUCACGAGUGGCAUGUUGGUUAGAUCCACUUUAAAAUGAUCACUAGAGAGAGGACUUUGACACUUUAGGCGAGUAACUCACUAGUGGCAUGUUGGUGAUAUCCACUUUAACAUGAUCGUUAGAAUCUUUAGUCUUGACUUCCACUGCAACCCGUGGUUUACUCGAGUAAUGCUCCUGACCUUCCGAAUCAGAAGUGUUACCACUUGAAUCACAUUCCAAAUUUUCAUCUUGAUUAACUUUGGUAAUUCCUUUAAGACAAGAGGGGUUGCUCUGAUGGUAAGCAACCCUCACUUCCAACCGACAGGUUGUGAGUUCGAGUCUCCCCAAGAGCAAGGUGGGAACUUCUUGGAGGGAAGGAUGUCAGGGGUCUAUUUGGAAACAGUUCCAACCGAGAGGUUGUGAGUUCGAGCCUCCCCAAGAGAAAGGGGGGAAAUUCUUGGAGGAAAGGAUGACGGGGGUCUAUUUGGAAACAGCCUCUCUACCCAAGGGUAGGGGUAAGGUGUGCAUACACACUACCCUCCCCAGACCCCAUUAAGUGAGAUUAUACUGGGUUGUUGUUGUUGUUGUUGUAACUUCGGUAAUUCCAAGAAUCGAGUUCUGAAAGCUGAUGAGCUUGUUGAC
This 787-nucleotide long non-coding RNA is filed under the name Nicotiana benthamiana. RNAcentral describes it as "long non-coding RNA (NBEN_LNC009192)". The record is from RNAcentral. Lineage: Eukaryota; Viridiplantae; Streptophyta; Magnoliopsida; Solanales; Solanaceae.